CAGCAGCCGCGGGAAUACGAAGGGUGCAAGCGUUACUCGGAAUUACUGGGCGUAAAGCGUGUGUAGGUGGUUGUUUAAGUCUGUCGUGAAAGCCCUGGGCUCAACCUGGGAAUUGCGAAGGAUACUGGGCGACUAGAGUGCGGUAGAGGAUAGUGGAAUUUCCGGUGUAGCAGUGAAAUGCGUAGAGAUCGGAAGGAACAUCUGUGGCGAAGGCGACUAUCUGGGCCAACACUGACACUGAGACACGAAAGCGUGGGGAGCGAACAGGAUUAGAUACCCGUGUAGUCCCUGUCUCUUAUAA
RNAcentral lists this ribosomal RNA (301 nucleotides) under uncultured bacterium. RNAcentral's name for it is "partial 16S ribosomal RNA". It matches the Rfam family "Bacterial small subunit ribosomal RNA", at positions 509 to 809 of the family's 1533-position model. The record is from RNAcentral.